GAUGAACGCUGGCGGCGUGCCUAAUACAUGCGAGUCGAGCGAACGGACGAGAAGCUUGCUUCUCUGAUGUUAGCGGCGGACGGGUGAGUAACACGUGGAUAACCUACCUAUAAGACUGGGAUAACUUCGGGAAACCGUAGCUAAUACCGGAUAAUAUUUUGAACCGCAUGGUUCAAAAGUGAAAGACGGUCUUGCUGUCACUUAUAGAUGGAUCCGCGCUGCAUUAGCUAGUUGGUAAGGUAACGGCUUACCAAGGCAACGAUGCAUAGCCGACCUGAGAGGGUGAUCGGCCACACUGGAACUGAGACACGGUCCAGACUCCUACGGGAGGCAGCAGUAGGGAAUCUUCCGCAAUGGGCGAAAGCCUGACGGAGCAACGCCGCGUGAGUGAUGAAGGUCUUCGGAUCGUAAAACUCUGUUAUUAGGGAAGAACAUAUGUGUAAGUAACUGUGCACAUCUUGACGGUACCUAAUCAGAAAGACACGGCUAACUACGUG
Molecule: ribosomal RNA, 497 nt
Filed under: uncultured bacterium
Lineage: Bacteria
Description: partial 16S ribosomal RNA
Rfam family: Bacterial small subunit ribosomal RNA
Source: RNAcentral